Molecule: transfer RNA, 76 nt
Filed under: Escherichia coli
Lineage: Bacteria; Pseudomonadati; Pseudomonadota; Gammaproteobacteria; Enterobacterales; Enterobacteriaceae
Also listed under: 8 other names
Description: tRNA-Lys
Rfam family: tRNA
About the family: Transfer RNA (tRNA) molecules are approximately 80 nucleotides in length. Their secondary structure includes four short double-helical elements and three loops (D, anti-codon, and T loops).
Source: RNAcentral
GGGUCGUUAGCUCAGUUGGUAGAGCAAUUGACUUUUAAUCAAUUGGUCGCAGGUUCGAAUCCUGCACGACCCACCA